UAGCUUAUGAAAAAUUGUUGUAAACAACAGGUCAAAGGUCUCUUCUGUCCCUGUGUUGCGGGAUUUGAUCACUAGUAAGUAACACAGAAAAAUAAUAGGUCCAGGUACUGAUCAAAACAUCAUAAGACAGAAGAAGAAAUCCAUGCUUUGGCCACAGUCCUGGGCUUCAGUAUCUGUACACACAGCUAGGAGUCCUGCUUAGCCUUUUAUGAAAUACAAGCAGUGGAAACAGCAGAAGACAUUUUUUUAAAAGAUUCUGUUAUGGAAUACUGUGCUUAAAAUAUUACAUGUAUAUUGUCACAGUGACUUCUUGGGCACAGCUCAAUGGAAAUUGUGCAGUUUUUUAGUGCCUGCAGUUUGUGAGGUAGAAUCAUCAUUAGCUAAGGAAUCUUGAACUUUUGGGGUAAUUUUUAAUGAUGUAUUUCAAUGAGUGUAAUUUUAAUGGAGCAUGUAUAUAUGAACAAAAAUCUGUGUAUCCUCUUUUUUCACACUGUGUUUUCAGGCAGAAGAUCUUCUUUCUUGUACUUUUUCAAUGAGGUUUAAAUUCCUUUCUGUAUCUUGCCUCACACUUCCAUCAUUCCUUAGGUACCAGAGCAUCCUAUGAAAUCUGAUCCUGUUGGCUCUAAUCUUUGGCUGGCCAUUUAUGUACUGAAUUUGCAGAGUUGCAAACAAAGGCUGGGAUCAUGAUGGGGAGGCAAGAAGAGGCAGGACUCUGCAGGGCCAGGUGGAGCGAGGGCAUCUUUGAAGGAUCACCACCGUGGAAAUACAAGUUCUGCAUGCCGGAAUUAAAGCAAAACAGAGCCCAGUGCACUCCCUACUUUGGAUUUCAAUGUAUCCUACUUGACCCUUGCCUGUGCUGGGCUUCACUCACAUCCAAAAGCUUUGUCCACACCUGAGGAGGCAUCAGGUUCAGAGUGAAGAUGGCUCAAGCUGUUUCCUUGGUCCUGUUGCUCCAGCUGUCAGCGGAGGCAGGCUGUCGUUGCUUAUCUGGCUGCUAAAUCCUUCACAACUCCCCAUGUGAUAUCUUACAAACAUUUUGGAAUGAACUGAUGUGCAGAUUUGCAAAUUAUUCAUAGGAACCUGUGCCUCAGCUUGCAGUAUAUCUUUUCAGAGCCAUGGCAGGCAACCGGCUACCCAAAGUUAAGAAGUUUGGGGGAGCAGAGUGGGACUGGGUUCCACUCAGGGAUGCUGGAUAUCCUGAGUGACCAGUGGAUGGAUGGAAGGUGUGGGUAUGUGCAGCAUCUGGCAUUUCUCUGCUUUCUGUUCUCUGCCUAAGGGCAUAGUGAAGAAUUACCAGGGUCUGCAGUUAUUUUCAAGAGUAGGUGGAGUGGGCAAAUGGGUGUGCUGAUGCCUGGUGGUCUCUGCUGAAUGGGUAAGGGGACAUACAGUUCUGUGGAGGCAGAAAAAUGUACUGGAGGCUGGGAGAGAGCGGCUGUAACAGGGACACUCUGAAGGACGUGGAGAUGUGGAGUUAACCUGUGAUUAUUUUAGGAGAACAAGAGAGCUGAAGGAACCUUUUCAUCCAGAACAGGAGAGUGCUGUUCCACUGAUGCAAGGAGCCACACUGAUGGCAAGUGAGAAGAUUUUCAGGUCUUUCUGUGCUUGGUUCUUUGCGAGAUGUCAGCAUUCCUGUCCCUGGCUGCUCAGGAGGAGCAAGGGAGUGGCUGGAGGCACGUGGCGUCUGCCCAGCUUCAGCUCUGCCCAAGACAAGGAAACCCUCAAGAUGAGAUAAGGCAGGUCUGAUAGGGAGCUUGGGGAUUUUCAGAUUUUCCUUUCCCUCCACAAGAUAAACAAAAGAAAGGAAAAAGGAAAGUCUUGAGAAAAAAAAAUGUAUAGGGUUGAAAAAUACCACUAAGAGUCACUAUUUUCAUUUUUUUGCCAUUAAAAAUAUUGUUUUGCUUCUUUGAAAGAGCACCAAUUGUUUAAUUGACCCCAAAAAGGAAAUGGAUUUUCUGUUCUUUUAUAAGAACCCGAUGUGCUGACAUUUUCCAUCCCGAACUAGAAUUAAAACAGCCACACUGAGAAAACUCAGUGUAUUUUAUUCAUCAAAGAACGGAGACUACUUUGAGGGAGGAGUUGAGGGAGGCUGUAGUUUCAUGUUGCAUUUUCUUUGUGAGCAGAGCAGCCCUGGGUGUGUUUUGUUUUGCAUUUUUUUUUUGAGAUCUUUUAAGCCAGUUAGAAGAUGGGCUCACUGAUCCGGUUUGCCGGGCACACAGUCAUUGCUGGCACAACUGCCAGGGCAGCAGGGAACAGCGAACAGGGGGGGCACGGACAGGCCUGUCGGGCUUUGUCAGACAAUAAAAGGUAACACAAAACUGUAACA
This 2323-nucleotide long non-coding RNA is filed under the name Cyanistes caeruleus (blue tit). RNAcentral's name for it is "lncRNA (ENSCCEG00000009795.1)". The record is from RNAcentral. Lineage: Eukaryota; Metazoa; Chordata; Aves; Passeriformes; Paridae.